UACGUAGGGGGCUAGCGUUGUCCGGAAUCAUUGGGCGUAAAGAGCGCGUAGGCGGCCAGAUAAGUCCGGUGUGAAAGUCACAGGCUCAACCUGUGAAUGCCGCUGGAAACUGUCUGGCUAGAGUCCGGAAGGGGCGAGUGGAACUCCUGGUGUAGCGGUGGAAUGCGCAGAUAUCAGGAGGAACACCGGUGGCGAAGGCGGGUCUCUGGGCCGAUACUGACGCUGAGGAGCGAAAGCGUGGGGAGCAAACAGG
Molecule: ribosomal RNA, 253 nt
Filed under: uncultured bacterium
Lineage: Bacteria
Description: partial 16S ribosomal RNA
Rfam family: Bacterial small subunit ribosomal RNA
Source: RNAcentral